RNAcentral lists this ribosomal RNA (1512 nucleotides) under Clostridium botulinum Ba4 str. 657. RNAcentral's name for it is "16S ribosomal RNA". It matches the Rfam family "Bacterial small subunit ribosomal RNA". The record is from RNAcentral. Lineage: Bacteria; Bacillati; Bacillota; Clostridia; Eubacteriales; Clostridiaceae.
UAAAUUUAGAGUUUGAUCCUGGCUCAGGACGAACGCUGGCGGCGUGCUUAACACAUGCAAGUCGAGCGAUGAAGCUUCCUUCGGGAAGUGGAUUAGCGGCGGACGGGUGAGUAACACGUGGGUAACCUGCCUCAAAGUGGGGGAUAGCCUUCCGAAAGGAAGAUUAAUACCGCAUAAUAUAAGAGAAUCGCAUGAUUUUCUUAUCAAAGAUUUAUUGCUUUGAGAUGGGCCCGCGGCGCAUUAGCUAGUUGGUAAGGUAACGGCUUACCAAGGCAACGAUGCGUAGCCGACCUGAGAGGGUGAUCGGCCACAUUGGAACUGAGACACGGUCCAGACUCCUACGGGAGGCAGCAGUGGGGAAUAUUGCGCAAUGGGGGAAACCCUGACGCAGCAACGCCGCGUGGGUGAUGAAGGUCUUCGGAUUGUAAAGCCCUGUUUUCUAGGACGAUAAUGACGGUACUAGAGGAGGAAGCCACGGCUAACUACGUGCCAGCAGCCGCGGUAAUACGUAGGUGGCGAGCGUUGUCCGGAUUUACUGGGCGUAAAGGGUGCGUAGGCGGAUGUUUAAGUGGGAUGUGAAAUCCCCGGGCUUAACCUGGGGGCUGCAUUCCAAACUGGAUAUCUAGAGUGCAGGAGAGGAAAGCGGAAUUCCUAGUGUAGCGGUGAAAUGCGUAGAGAUUAGGAAGAACACCAGUGGCGAAGGCGGCUUUCUGGACUGUAACUGACGCUGAGGCACGAAAGCGUGGGUAGCAAACAGGAUUAGAUACCCUGGUAGUCCACGCCGUAAACGAUGGAUACUAGGUGUAGGGGGUAUCAACUCCCCCUGUGCCGCAGUUAACACAAUAAGUAUCCCGCCUGGGGAGUACGGUCGCAAGAUUAAAACUCAAAGGAAUUGACGGGGGCCCGCACAAGCAGCGGAGCAUGUGGUUUAAUUCGAAGCAACGCGAAGAACCUUACCUGGACUUGACAUCCCUUGCAUAGCCUAGAGAUAGGUGAAGCCCUUCGGGGCAAGGAGACAGGUGGUGCAUGGUUGUCGUCAGCUCGUGUCGUGAGAUGUUAGGUUAAGUCCUGCAACGAGCGCAACCCUUGUUAUUAGUUGCUACCAUUAAGUUGAGCACUCUAAUGAGACUGCCUGGGUAACCAGGAGGAAGGUGGGGAUGACGUCAAAUCAUCAUGCCCCUUAUGUCCAGGGCUACACACGUGCUACAAUGGUAGGUACAAUAAGACGCAAGACCGUGAGGUGGAGCAAAACUUAUAAAACCUAUCUCAGUUCGGAUUGUAGGCUGCAACUCGCCUACAUGAAGCUGGAGUUGCUAGUAAUCGCGAAUCAGAAUGUCGCGGUGAAUACGUUCCCGGGCCUUGUACACACCGCCCGUCACACCAUGAGAGCUGGUAACACCCGAAGUCCGUGAGGUAACCGUAAGGAACCAGCGGCCGAAGGUGGGAUUAGUGAUUGGGGUGAAGUCGUAACAAGGUAGCCGUAGGAGAACCUGCGGCUGGAUCACCUCCUUU